This is a long non-coding RNA of Ipomoea nil (Japanese morning glory), 694 nucleotides long. RefSeq lists it as uncharacterized. Lineage: Eukaryota; Viridiplantae; Streptophyta; Magnoliopsida; Solanales; Convolvulaceae. The record is from RefSeq and is a predicted model, not a curated record. The transcript has 2 exons.
UAGGUCGGCUUUCUUCACAUUCGCCAUUUCAAUUCUCACCACCGCCGCUCAGACGACUCAUUGCGCACAGCCACCGGUCCGCUCGCCGCCACCAUUUCGCUCAGCCACCGCCCACCGCCAUGCCGCCCCGCACAGCCACGCCUUGCAGUUCGACGCUUUCUUCUUCGCGCUGCACAUCCUCCGCCGCACCGGUCCACUGCCGCUCCGCGCUGCCCAGCCUCCGCCGCACCGCGCUGCCCGGCCUUCGUCGCACCGCCUAGCUACAUUUUAAUUUUGUUUUUUAAUGGAUUUCGAAUUUUAGGAGUUAUUAGGUUAUAUAUUUUUUUGUGAAUUUUGAUGCUAUUGAAGCUGGAAGCCUAGUGAUUAUUGCUGAUUAGAGCUCUAAAUGGAGUUCUUUUGUCAAUUGUUCCCUCGAUCACAUUGAGUUGAUCUUUGGAUGUGGUUGUGAUAGAUUAGAUUCAUCAAAUUGUUUGGAUAGCUUGUUUGGUGAUGGAAAGUUCAAUUCAUUCUAUCCAAGCCUUCAGGUAUAUAUUUUGAAGAUUGUGAAGCUAAAAGAGAGAUCUGUGGUCACUCAACUUUUGAGUGGUUUUACUGGCAGAGGCAUGGCUUGUGGACAAGAUAAACAAUUCUAUUGGCCAAGAUCCUGAUUCCAACCUUUUAAUUGGGAUUCUGAUAUUUAUAGAUCUGAGAGUUU